CGCCUCUUGAAUUACAUAAGAGGUCCAGCCUGCCCAGUGACUUUGUUCAACGGCCGCGGUAUCCUAACCGUGCGAAGGUAGCGUAAUCACUUGUUCUUUAAUUGUGGACUAGUAUGAAUGGCAUCACGAGGGUUAUACUGUCUCCUUUUUCUAAUCAGUGAAACUAAUCUCCCCGUGAAGAAGCGGGGAUAAAAAUAUAAGACGAGAAGACCCUAUGGAGCUUUAAACAACAUAGCAAUUAACAUUAAAACACAAAAUUUUCCGAACCAUUUAACCCACAAAAUAAUAUGACUAUGAGUUUUUGGUUGGGGUGACCGCGGAGCAAAAUACAACCUCCAUGCUGAAAGAUAUGAACCUCUAAGCCAAGACCUACAUGUCUAAGCAUCAGCACACUGACAUUUAUUGACCCAAUAUACUUGAGCAACGAACCAAGUUACCCUAGGGAUAACAGCGCAAUCCACUUCAAGAGCUCCUAUCGACAAGUGGGUUUACGACCUCGAUGUUGGAUCAGGGUGUCCCAGUGGUGCAGCCGCUACUAAAGGUUCGUUUGUUCAACGAUUAAAACCCUACG
This 571-nucleotide ribosomal RNA is filed under the name Sclerophrys pantherina (western leopard toad). RNAcentral's name for it is "partial 16S ribosomal RNA". It matches the Rfam family "Bacterial large subunit ribosomal RNA", at positions 1819 to 2600 of the family's 2925-position model. The record is from RNAcentral. Lineage: Eukaryota; Metazoa; Chordata; Amphibia; Anura; Bufonidae.